CUGCCAAAAAUUUUUAGCGCCACCUUUUCCCCCCUUAGCCUUCUCGAACCCUAACCUAUUUUUCUUUCCCUUUCCUUAUACAAUCUCUUCAUGCAAUGAACCCUUGCUGUUUUUUCUUCCUCCUCCUUCCUUGGUCUCUGAUCGAGUUGCCCCUCCUCCAUGACGUGAAGACCACUUCUCUCACUAUGAACGUUGCCGGCGUCAUCAAGGAUGGGCUCCUCAUUGCCUUCUCCCGGUCCAUCAUCCGUGACACAAUCAACCCCGUCAACCUCUUCCUCUAUGAUGUCACCUUCCUCAGCGUUUCCUACUACAACAAGGGGCCUUGUGGCCUCUUCUCCCACCACAUCCAUCCGUCUCUAGGGUUUCUUUGGAUUUCGGGAAUUAUGGUGAAGACUCUAGAUGAUUUUGGGUAUUCUGCAUCAAAACGUUGUGAGGCAUGGCUGAAGGUAAAGCGUGAUUAUGUUGAAGGAAUAGGUGAUAGUAUUGAUCUUGUUCUUAUUAGUGCUUGGCAUGGAAAUGGAAGAAAAGUUGGAUGUCCUUUCCUCGUGGCAUGCUACAAUCUAGAUACUGAAGAAUUUCAAAGUGUCUGUCGCAUCAUGUCUGGUUUUUCAGAUUCAUUUUAUUUAGAGGUACUCUUUUUUUGUUUGGUUUCAUGCCCAGCUCAUACAUUCCAUGCAUAGCAGAUUAAGCAAAUUGAUUAUUUUGAAAUUUUGCUAUAUAUAUAUAUAUAUAAUAAUAAUAAUAAUAAUAAUAAUAAUAUAAUUAUUAUUAUUAUUAUUAUAUAAUUCUUAAGCCUAAGAUUAAUGGUAUUUUUGGCCUAAGAUUUAUAUUUCUCUUCUGUUACCUUCACCAUGCUAUGCUCCAAUGAAAGGUAGAAACUUUAAUAAAUUAAAGAAUGUAUGUUUGGUGCUUUUGAGCUUCCCUGUCAGGUAAUUAGUUUGUGUUUGAUGUAUCUGUCUUUACUGUGUGACUUCCUUUUACCAUCAUGCUUCGUUCAACUACUUUACUUUAUCAAGAUCGAUUAGAAAAAGGAUUAAAUUUUAUUUUCCCUUUCCAAUCGAUAACUUUUGAAUUGGUCAUGACUUUUACAACUGCUUCUAAGAUUCUGCUCAAUUGCCUUCUUCUUAAAGAAUUGGACGCUCUGUAGUUGUGGGCGAAGUAAUACUGAUGACCUACUUGCACAAAAAGCACAAUGAAAAGAGAAAUACAUAAUUAAUAUAAGACAGUUCUAUAGUGUUGUAGUGCAAAUGUACUAUUAUUAAAGGUUAAAACAAAAUAAUAAUCUUAAAAUUACCAACUUGUGUUGGAAAGCUUGCAAUGCUCCCCUUUGAUGGAUCAAAUCAAGCUCGAUUAUUAUAAGUUAAAGGUAGUAAUCUGUAGCCAAAUGUGAUGGAUAUAGUUUCCCAUUAGAUGUGUAAUGGGCAUUUUUCUUGCAGGGGAAUGGUUGGCUGAUCAAGAACCGGACAAGUAAUAUAUAUUAUGUGACUUCCUUUUCUCCAGAACAUAAAUAAAUAAAGGAAAUAAUGUCUUCUAGUUUUAAGUCUGAAAUUUAUUUCUUGUUUUUAUUUUUGAUUUCUCUUGCAUGACAUAAUGUUUUCUGCUUGAUUUUUCUGUUGGAGCAGUUCAUGCUAUCCGAUGGUUUUGGAAGAAGAGAAACAAAAUAUCAAAAUGAAAUCUUUCAUUUUAAAACUUCAUUCUUCUUGCAUUUAUAGUCUCUAGCUUUUCUUGGUGUUUAGAACAAAAGUGAAAAACUAGUUCAGCAAGCCUAUCAUUGGAUUAAGGUAUUAUUAAUUUUCCCACUGUUUAAAACUGUUAAAAGAUAACGGAUUUUAUCCUUCCACAAUCAGGAUUCAUUCUCUGGUUGACAAACAGAAACUGAGAUUGAAGCGGUAGAUAUUGAAUACUAUUUUAGCGCGGAUAAUCUCUGUAAGGACAUUUUUCUUCGUGGCAAGAUGGAUGAUCAAGGUUGGGUUCCCGUCUCAUUGAUUACUACCUUUAACAUGGUCAAAAGGGUGACCACGAGCAUAGCGAUGAUAUUGAAUGCUCUAAGAGAUUCGACAGAACUUGAAAUACAA
This is an RNA transcript of Zingiber officinale, 2075 nucleotides long. It is a transcript of the gene named DNA ligase 1-like, with no coding region annotated. Lineage: Eukaryota; Viridiplantae; Streptophyta; Magnoliopsida; Zingiberales; Zingiberaceae. The record is from RefSeq and is a predicted model, not a curated record. The transcript has 7 exons.